UGGGGAAUUUUGCACAAUGGGGGAAACCCUGAUGCAGCGACGCCGCGUGAUUUAGAAGGCCUUCGGGUUGUAAAAAUCUUUUCUAUGGGAAGAAAAUGACAGUACCAUAGGAAUAAGGACCGGCUAAUUACGUGCCAGCAGCCGCGGUAAUACGUAAGGUCCGAGCGUUGUCCGGAAUCAUUGGGCGUAAAGGGUACGUAGGCGGGUAAGCAAGUUAGAAGUGAAAUCCUAUAGCUCAACUAUAGUAAGCUUUUAAAACUGCUCAUCUUGAGGUAUGGAAGGGAGAGUGGAAUUCCUAGUGUAGCGGUGAAAUGCGCAGAUAUUAGGAGGAACACCGGUGGCGAAGGCGACUUUCUGGCCAUAACCUGACGCUGAGGUACGAGAGCGUGGGUAGCAAACAGG
Molecule: ribosomal RNA, 402 nt
Filed under: bacterium
Lineage: Bacteria
Description: partial 16S ribosomal RNA
Rfam family: Bacterial small subunit ribosomal RNA
Source: RNAcentral